UUGGAAUGGCCGGUUCUGAACAGCCGCUCUUGUUUUGAUCAGAGUCCACGUUGGAAAGCUUACUUAGCAUGCCCUCUAUAUGGCACUUUUCGCCUUUGUAUGGACCGGAUCUUCCUUGGCCAGUGUGCCUAAGAGACCCACGCCAUCAAAAUCAUCUGUUUGCCAUCCCAAGGACCAUCGCUGAGUGAUCAUUUCCAGUGCGAAGUUUCUGACUACUGGAGAGAACACCGGAUAGACGGUCCGCAUCAGAGGUCCCCGAGAAGAGUCUCACACGAAGGCCACGUCUCUUGUUUGCAGCUGGGGUUGACUGCUCCAGGACAGCCAGAAUGUGCUGUCAGGUGGGCAAAUCAGGCCGCAAAACAUCCAUUUCCACCUCCGGGUUGUUGAUCUGGUUUACCAACCCGUCCCCGUCACGUCUGGGAGGUACCUGGGUGGCCAUUGGAUAGAAAAGAGUAGCCAAUGUGGGAGGAGGGAGCUCCAAAUACAGAGGAGGCACCUCUGCUGGCUCACAAACGCACACACUUCGACCUGAAGAUGUGGCCCCUGUGCACAUAAUGUCCCCCACAUUUUCACUUGGCCUCCCCUCUCAACCCUCCCCAUCCCCCCACAUGCAAGCAGCGCAGUGAACCUUCUGGCAAACCAGGCAUGGGGCUUCCCGAAAUCCUGGCUGCAGCGCGGGGGGUGGCACAGCAAAGAGGCCCAACCUUGCUCAUCUCCCCAGAGAUGUUUCCUGACCCCCCCCCCACAAAGCCCAGCACAGGCUGCCCCUCUCCCGCUUCCACGCGAGGCUGCCUGCCCCGGGUCUGCCCGUUCCAGCGCUCCUGGCUGGUGAUGCCAGCAGCCUCGUGGCUGCAGAGCGUGUGGGGCAGCAGCACCCAGAAGCGUCUCAUCAGGCGUAGCUUCACAUCCAGCAACUGGUGGGGGAAAGCAGGCACUGUUAAGGAAAGGCCGGCUUUCUUCGGCAGCUUCCCUGAAAGAGCCCCCCCCACCCCCGAGCUGCACAAGGCCUCCUUCAUAAGUGCCCGAGCGACUUCCCCCACCCCUUCAACACCAUGCCUCUGCCCCCACAGCUCAUCGGGCCGAGGACAGAGAGAGGGAUAAUGCGGAAUUCCCGGGGGUGUUCUGCUUUGGCAUCAGCUGCCUUCAGUGCAUCGAAAGGGGGGACAUGCACGGAUCUUGUGAGGUGCCUGCAGUCAGGUGGGGCUUUCUCAGGAGGAGAAGCGAUGUGGUGCUGCCUCCUGCGUGUUCAAGGUCGAGAAAACCAACAGCCUUGGCUCGGUGUCAGCAGCACACCAGGCUUUCAAAAUUAUAGCUAGAAUCAGCCUAUAAGCAGUUCGGAAGUCUGGGGCCUGAUCAGCCUGUGGGGUGCCGAGAUACACUGGACUUCCUCUGAGUCCAUGUUCUCCCUGGAAGUGGGGGGAUCAACCAAUCCCUGCAUAGCUGCUCGUGCCAGGCUGAGGAAGAAGUGACCAGCUUCUCUCAGCAGCAAGGGAGCGGGCAUGCAGAAGUGCCACCCAAGUCAAGGCUCCAGCCCAGGAGGACUGCCUUAGUACAAAGAACCAAAAGGACAAAGGACUUGGUGGUCGACUUUGUCCUGGAGAUUUGACUGCCCUUGAACUUUGUAGGAUUCUCUGAAUGUUUCCAAAUGUUUUUUCAGGGGAAAGCUUAGCAUCUCAUGAGGCCCAAAACAACAACAACAACUGCCAAUAGUGAACAUCAUGUUAAUUCAGUGAUCAUGGUCAUCAGAUUUUAUUGCUUUUGGUCAAUAGACUUUGCAUAAAAUUAAUACAAACCUUGUUCAAACCCCACAGAUGGGCUUAAUAUCUGCUUAAAAUAAAUAUGCUUAAAUUGCAUGUAUCAAACAUGCAAGCUUUUAAAAUCUUCUUGAAAAUUGUUAAUCCAUAUCUAUAAAAUAAUCUUUGUAACUGAUGGCUAUUUCUGCUAUAUAUUUCUUUUUAAUCUAGUUGGCAGCGAUUGAUGCCAGGUCACAUUUUAAUCAGGAGUCCCAAAACAAGAGCUUUCUAAGAACAAUGUGUGCCAUUGCACAGUGGAUAGUCAGAACACCUUAGGUAAGGAGCAACCUUAAAGGUUUUCCAAAAAAUGAGGUGGGUUUUCUAGCUUAGUAGCACCUACACCCAACUGACACAGACAGAAACAGUGGAUAUAAAUUAACAAGGAAUGGAAUUUAUUUCAUGAUUCCUCAAGUCCAUGAAUCCCUCAUACAACAUUGUUAGGAAGGAAGCAGAGAUAGUUCAAAGUUGGCUACGUUCCUGCAGACAGAAAUUCAAAAGAUGUCUUUAGUCUUCAUUCCCAGUGGUACAGAAAAGAAUUCCAAACUCUAGUGGAGACUAAAAUCAGAUGUUGCCCUGCAGAGAAAGUUUUUGGAAGCGCAUCUUUCCUCAAGCUGGUAACUUCAAGAUGUUUUGGACCACAACUUCCAGCAUUCCUGGCUGGAACUGAUGGGAGUUGGUUCAAAAUACCUGGAAGGCUAACACGUCUCAGUUCUGUCUCCUUGAGGCUGUAAUCCUAUAGUUCCUUAAUACUGUAAGAAGGAAAAUAGAACUUUGCAAAACAAAAACAAAACCCCAAAACAAAAACUUACUCAGGA
Long non-coding RNA from Varanus komodoensis (Komodo dragon), 2608 nucleotides. RefSeq lists it as uncharacterized. NCBI's taxonomy places the organism in Eukaryota, Metazoa, Chordata, Lepidosauria, Squamata, Varanidae. The record is from RefSeq and is a predicted model, not a curated record. The transcript is spliced from 3 exons.